RNAcentral lists this ribosomal RNA (253 nucleotides) under uncultured bacterium. RNAcentral describes it as "partial 16S ribosomal RNA". It matches the Rfam family "Bacterial small subunit ribosomal RNA", at positions 524 to 776 of the family's 1533-position model. The record is from RNAcentral.
UACGAGUGCUCCAAGCGUUAUCCGGAAUCAUUGGGCGUAAAGGGUGUGUAGGCGGUAGUGUUAGUCUUCUGUGAAAUUCUUCGGCUUAACCGGGGGUCCGCAGGGGAAACGGCACAACUAGAGGAUGCGAGAGGUAAAUGGAACUCAUGGAGUAGGGGUGAAAUCCGUUGAUAUCAUGGGGAACACCGAAAGCGAAGGCAAUUUACUGGCGCACUCCUGACGCUGAGACACGAAAGCGUAGGUAGCGAAUGGG